This is a long non-coding RNA of Vigna unguiculata (cowpea), 334 nucleotides long. NCBI's taxonomy places the organism in Eukaryota, Viridiplantae, Streptophyta, Magnoliopsida, Fabales, Fabaceae. The record is from RefSeq and is a predicted model, not a curated record.
UACUCGAUUGGGAUGGAAUGGCGAAACUUCUCGUCUCUGAUAAGGCUCGUCGGGAGUUCUCGAAUCUACGUCACGCUUUUGACGAGGUUUAUUUUUAAAUACCGACGAAUUAUCAUUUGAUAAACGUUGCGGUUCGUGCUGAUGAGAUGCCGAUGGAUUGAGUCAGCGGUGGGCGGAACACUAUUAUUGAGGCGAAAGGGGUCAUUGCAGCGAAGGAGUGUGCUUAUAAACAAUUGCUUCUUCCAAUGAUUCUUCUUAAAAAGAAGUUGUCAUCAAGGCUGAUUUAAGUGCAGCAGGAGACCAGUUGGGAUGAAAAUAUUUGACGUAAGAAGCU